CCUACGGGUGGCAGCAGUGGGGGAUAUUGCACAAUGGGGGGAACCCUGAUGCAGCGACGCCGCGUGUGGGAAGACGGUCCUCUGGAUUGUAAACCACUGUCCCCAGGGACGAAAAUGACGGAACCUGGGGAGGAAGCGCCGGCUAACUACGUGCCAGCAGCCGCGGUAAGACGUAGGGAGCGAGCGUUGUCCGGAAUUACUGGGUGGAAAGGGAGCGUAGGAGGGGAGGCAAGUUGGGUGUCAAAACUACCGGCUCAACUGGUAGUCGCACUCAAAACUGCAGCUCUUGAGGGAAGUAGAGGCAGGCGUAAUUCCUCGUGUAGCGGUGAUAUGCGUAGAUCUUAGGCGGCACCCCAGUGGCGCAGGCGGCCUGCUGGGCUUUUACUGACGCUGCGGCUC
This 399-nucleotide ribosomal RNA is filed under the name uncultured bacterium. RNAcentral describes it as "partial 16S ribosomal RNA". It matches the Rfam family "Bacterial small subunit ribosomal RNA", at positions 338 to 754 of the family's 1533-position model. The record is from RNAcentral.